Molecule: ribosomal RNA, 2055 nt
Filed under: Triticum aestivum (bread wheat)
Lineage: Eukaryota; Viridiplantae; Streptophyta; Magnoliopsida; Poales; Poaceae
Description: partial small subunit ribosomal RNA
Source: RNAcentral
AUGCCAAGAUCCAACUCAGACAGGGAUGAUAUCUUCUUUGAUGCAUUUGAUGAUAUUAGUUCAGCAAGGGAGCCUUCAUCAUCAGAUGAUUGUAGUACGAGUGGCGAAGGAUUGGCGCCAAGGGAAUUUGAGUACGACAUUUGGGCAAACGAGCCAAUGAGUGUUAAAGAAAGGCGGCAAAGAUUCCUGGAGGGAAUGGGAUUAGAUGACUUAGGUUCCACUAAAGUGGAUCUUCCUCAAUGUCAGGCAGAGAUAACAAGUGCUGACACUGGUGCUGACUUGCAGGAAAGGACUGUUAUGAGCGACGUCUCUUCUUUGGGUUCAUCUAUACCUGAGAAUGAAUCAGCAUUUGAUGCCGCCUGCUGCAUUAGGGAUCUGGAUAGUGGAAAGAGAUAUGUAGUUCAUAAUGGCGGGCAUGACGGACUAACUAGCUUUCUCAAGGAUGUUGCAACAGAUAAGGUGUUGUCUCUUCUGGAGUUUGAAAGCUUAGUUGGUGUUUCUCGAUCUGUUCAAAAGUUAUUACGAAGAGCAUAUUGCCAGAGUCCUGCCCUGGCAACAGAGGCAAAAGAGGCUAUUGGUGGAAAGAAAAAGGAUAUCAAAAGCUUGUGCAAAAACUUGAUGAAGAAGAGGAGUUUCGGUGGAAUGUGCAAGACUGAUGUCCAUGUAAAAAGCUGCACGACAAGUAUACCAUCCAGAACAAAAGUUCAGCACCGAAAGAAGAAGAAUGCGGAAUUCUCUGCUGUCUAUAUGGGUCAAGAAAUCCGGGCUCACAACGGUUUAAUUAGAGUAAUGAAGUUUAGUCCGUCUGGCUGGUAUUUAGCAAGUGGUGGUGAGGACUGUGUUGUGAGAAUUUGGCAGAUUACAGAAGUGGACGCACAUUCUAAAAUGUAUGGGGGAGAGAACCACUCUCAUGAACAUGUAGAGAAAAUUAAAAUCCUAAAACCGAAGCUAGAAGAGGGGCAGGGCCGUGCACUUGCAGUUAUGCCAAGCAAGGGUUUUCACAUUACAGAGAGCCCAUUGCAUGAAUUGCAUGGCCAUACAGGUGAUGUCCUGGAUAUGACAUGGUCGAAUUCAGAUUGUCUGUUGACCUCAUCAAAAGAUAAGACAGUCAGAUUGUGGAAAGUUGGCUCAGAUGUUUGUCUUGGAGUAUUCAGACACAAAGACUACGUGACGUGUGUUCAGUUCAAUCCUACUGACGAAAGAUACUUCAUCAGUGGUUCAAUAGAUGGUAAAGUUCGCAUUUGGGAUGUUCUACACAAGCGGGUCGUCAACUGGGCUGAUACCAGGAAUGUUAUAUCUGCUGUUAGUUACCAACCAGAUGGAAAGAAUUUUGUUGUUGGCACGACUGGAGGAGUUUGUCGCUUCUACGAUCAAUCAGGUGAAGACAUCCAACUAGACAAAGAAUUGUUUAUGCAAGGGAAAAAGAAAUCUGCUGCCAAUCGGAUCAAGAGUCUGCAGUUAUGUACAAGUGAUUCCCCUAGAUUCCUAGUUACAUCAACAGAUUCCAAGAUUCGAGUUGCUGAUGGUGCUGAUAUCGUCCAAAAGUUUAAAGGGCCUUGGAAGUCGAAGGCUCUUUCAUCGCCAUCACUAACAUCAGAUGGCAGAUAUCUUAUAUCCACUGGCAUGGACUCCAAUGUCUACAUAUGGAAUUUUGACAACUCAAGCAGCGCCUCACAGAAAGGUGAAGCCAAAUCGGUUCGAUCGUGCGAAAUGUUCUUCUCCAAGGACGUGACAACCGCGGUGCCAUGGCCGGGGGUGCACCAAGACAGGCAUGUCAAGCCGUCCCGCUUGCCCGAGAAAUCUGCCAGCGCGUCGGCUUUACGCCGCCAUGGAGGAGAAAGCCGUUCCCCUGGGACAUGGUUCUUCGCGGACGGCAUGAGGGGGUCUGUGACGUGGCCAGAGGAGAAGCUCACUUCGGCGAAGCCUGUCAAUGGCCCCCGGCUGGCUGACUGUCUCUCGGCGAUAUCGGCUGCCUGGAACAUGGUGAUAGUGACGGCGAGCCACGGCGGCGUGAUCCGGUCCUUCCACAACUACGGCUUGCCUGUGACGUUGUGA